Molecule: ribosomal RNA, 460 nt
Filed under: uncultured bacterium
Lineage: Bacteria
Description: partial 16S ribosomal RNA
Rfam family: Bacterial small subunit ribosomal RNA
Source: RNAcentral
CCUACGGGUGGCAGCAGUGAGGAAUAUUGGUCAAUGGACGAGAGUCUGAACCAGCCAAGUCGCGUGAAGGAUGACUGCUCUAUGGGUUGUAAACUUCUUUUAUAUGGGAAUAAAAUGUUCCACGUGUGGGAUUUUGUAUGUACCGUAUGAAUAAGGAUCGGCUAACUCCGUGCCAGCAGCCGCGGUAAUACGGAGGAUCCGAGCGUUAUCCGGAUUUAUUGGGUUUAAAGGGAGCGUAGGUGGGUUGUUAAGUCAGUCGUGAAAGUUUGGGGCUCAACCGUAAAAGUGCAGUUGAAACUGGCAGUCUUGAGAAGAGGAGAGGUGGGCGGAAUGCGUGGUGUAGCGGUGAAAUGCUUAGAUAUUACGAAGAACUCCGAUUGCGAAGGCAGCUCACUGGCCUGCAACUGACACUGAGGCACGAAAGUGUGGGUAUCGAACAGGAUUAGAUACCCUAGUAGUC